This 253-nucleotide ribosomal RNA is filed under the name uncultured bacterium. RNAcentral's name for it is "partial 16S ribosomal RNA". It matches the Rfam family "Bacterial small subunit ribosomal RNA", at positions 524 to 776 of the family's 1533-position model. The record is from RNAcentral.
UACGGGGGGGGCAAGCGUUGUUCGGAAUUACUGGGCGUAAAGGGCUCGUAGGUGGCCAACUAAGUCAGACGUGAAAUCCCUCGGCUUAACCGGGGAACUGCGUCUGAUACUGGAUGGCUUGAGUUUGGGAGAGGGAUGCGGAAUUCCAGGUGUAGCGGUGAAAUGCGUAGAGAUGGGGGAGAACACUCGUGGCGAAGGCGGCCAGCUAGACCAGUUCUGACACUGAGGCGCGACAGCGUGGGGAGCAAACAGG